RNAcentral lists this long non-coding RNA (1001 nucleotides) under Betta splendens (Siamese fighting fish). Its description in RNAcentral is "lncRNA (ENSBSLG00000000713.1)". Lineage: Eukaryota; Metazoa; Chordata; Actinopteri; Anabantiformes; Osphronemidae. The record is from RNAcentral.
CAUCCUUUUUUGCAUCAUUUCAUAUUUUACCUUUGAAUUCUUUGCUUCAGCCACUUAUAAACGUUUUUGUUCAACUCUUCAUAUAAAACUAUCCAGUGUAUCACAUUUAAACCGAGAUCUUCCUGACCGAGGAGUUCAGUUUUGCAGAAGGUCCCUGAGGACAAGCGUCGCUGUGUCUCUGUCCUCUUGACUGAACAAACACACCCGAUCAAGGUCGUGAGCUGUGGGAGCUGUUGGGAAAACAAGCAGAGCCGCAGCCCUUGGGCCAGGAAUUAGCCUCACCUGCUCUGUCCCACUCCAUUCCAAGCAAUUUUCCUCACUUUUCUUUGCUAACAGUGACUUCAAAAACACCUGCUGGGACUGACUAAGAGUUCCAGCAGCCUCUUGGUUGUCGAAUGCUCGUAGACACACAACGUCCCUUGUCUUGGAUCUGUCUCAUAAACACGAGGCUCCUGUUGGCCUUUUGUACGAGACGGGUUUGGACCGCGGAGGCUGAAGUGUCCAUCAGCUGGUGGCCUGGAACCACAGAGGCUGUUUGGAUUACUGGGCUCACCUUCCUGAUGCAGCCUUUGAAGCGUCAGGUUUCAGCAGCAUCCGUCUCAUUCCCGAUGCUUUUAUAAAUAUUCAAUUGCACAGUAGAAAACGUUGCCACUGGCGUGAGCACUUCCAUAGAAACACCUAACUGAAAACAGAGCAGUCUUACAUAAAGGUAAUUAGAUAUGCCAGACAGGAUUUUGAUAUAAAUACGCCCACCCAUCUCGUCUGCGUGACUCAGGGAGCAGAACUGAAACUCAGAAAAUCAUCCAGUUCCAACUUAAUCGCUUUUUUGUUCGCUGAAAUCGAAUUGUAGUGUUUAUACUGAAGUCGAAAUGUGAUAAAUCAAAACAAAAGAACUGUCUCAUCCAGGAAAACUGAUUCCUCCAACAUCAGCUCCAGUAUUUUUACUGUACCUUUGGUGUCUGAGCUUAUUGUGGUCAUGUACACUGUAAAAUGAAUCUGCU